AUGGACACCGGCAGUGCGGCGCCCCUCCUCCACGCGCACGGUGGCCUGCAGGCGGGCAGGGACCCUGCAGCGGCCCAUGACCACGUGGGGCAGUGCUCGCCGGAGGCCUCCGGCGGGGCGACAUUCCUGCGAACCUGCUUCAAUGGCCUCAACGCCCUCUCCGGUGCCGGGCUGCUGUCUAUCCCGUACGCGCUGGCGGAGGGCGGGUGGCUGAGCCUGGUUCUGCUUCUCGUCGUCGCCAUGGUCUGCUGCUACACUGGCCAGCUCCUGCAGACGUGCAUGGGAGCGUCAGCGGACGUGCGCGGCUACCCAGACAUCGGUGCGCUCGCGUUUGGGGUCAAAGGCCGGUUCGCCGUGUCGGCGUUCAUGUACGCGGAGCUCUACCUUGUUCCCAUCGGGUUCUUGAUAAUGGAGGGGGACAACCUGGACAAGCUAUUCCCAGGCACCAGCCUCAGCCUCGGCGCCGGGCUCCUGUUCUCGGGCAAGCACUUGUUCAUCGUGCUCGCAUCCAUCAUGAUCUUGCCCACGACGUGGCUGAGGAACCUGGGCGUGCUCGCCUACGUGUCAGCCAGCGGCGUGCUCGCAUCGGUUGUACUGGUUUUCUGCGUGCUAUGGGCCGCGGUGGUCGACGGCGUCGGGUUUCAGGGGAAAGGGACCAUGCUGAAUGUCAGUGGCCUGCCUACUGCUCUGGGUCUCUACACUUUCUGCUACUGCGGCCAUGCCAUAUUCCCAACAUUGUGCAAUUCCAUGAAGAAAAAGGACAAGUUCUCUAAUGUACUAGUCGUAUGCUUCGUCGCAUGUACCCUCAACUAUGGAUCAAUGGCCAUACUCGGCUACCUCAUGUACGGCGACGACGUUGAAUCUCAGGUGACCCUGAACCUCCCAGAAGGCAAGCUCAGUUCGAAGCUAGCAAUCUACACGGCGCUAAUCAACCCAUUCUCAAAGUACGCUCUGAUGGUGACUCCUGUCGCGACAGCGAUCGAAGAGAAGCUGCUUACCGGCAAUAAGAGGUUCGUCAGCAUGCUGAUCAGAACCUUCAUUGUCAUCAGCACGGUCAUCAUAGCCCUCACAGUCCCCUUCUUCGGCCACCUCAUGGCGCUCGUCGGCUCGCUGCUCAGCGUCGUCGCUUCGAUGCUGCUCCCAUGCAUCUGCUACCUCAAAAUCUUUGGCACGGCAAGGUGCAGCAGGCCUGAGGUUGCGGUGAUCGUCAUGAUUAUCAUUCUUGGUUCCUUGGUUGCUGCAUGUGGGACAUACUCUUCCUUGCAGAAGAUUAUUCAUGAGUUCUGA
Molecule: ribosomal RNA, 1287 nt
Filed under: Triticum aestivum (bread wheat)
Lineage: Eukaryota; Viridiplantae; Streptophyta; Magnoliopsida; Poales; Poaceae
Description: partial small subunit ribosomal RNA
Source: RNAcentral